RNAcentral lists this long non-coding RNA (252 nucleotides) under Lathyrus oleraceus (garden pea). RNAcentral's name for it is "Pisum sativum (pea) long non-coding RNA (PSAT_LNC004815)". Lineage: Eukaryota; Viridiplantae; Streptophyta; Magnoliopsida; Fabales; Fabaceae. The record is from RNAcentral.
AGAAAAGAAAAACAAAAGAGAAAAAUGCACUUGCCGAGACUUAAGACUCUAACACAUAUAAAAUGCUCGAAAAAUUUGAGUAGAAAAAGAGUUCAAAAGAGUGAAAUUAACCCCCAGAGUAUACGUGAUGCACGAGAAAAAGAGAAAGAAAAAUCACACAACAUGACUACCGAGUUCAAAACCCUUUGUUAUCCAUUUUUUUGUUUAUCCCACCGUACCCAAGCCCCGUUACAACCCAAAAAGACCUCGAAA